Pipra filicauda (Wire-tailed manakin) is the source of this 2877-nucleotide long non-coding RNA. RefSeq lists it as uncharacterized. Lineage: Eukaryota; Metazoa; Chordata; Aves; Passeriformes; Pipridae. The record is from RefSeq and is a predicted model, not a curated record. The transcript is spliced from 3 exons.
UAAUUCUGAUUAAUUUGGCAGCUUGCUGCCAUUUUUUUCCUAUGUAAAUAUUCCUUGUGGGCUUCUGGAUCUCAGUUGUGCUCUCUGUAGAAGGGGCUGAGGAUCCUGCUGAGCUUGUGGGGGGCUGUGUGGCCAAGCACAGUAUUUAUAAAAUGGCAGUUUGUUGUUUGUAAGGUGUUACAGAACUGCUCUGUAUUCUAUAUCUGCAAUGAGUUGAUGGGUAAUUGUAGUCUCAUAGCUGUGAUCAUACUGUAUAGUAUGAUCUGUAGAACUUAACAGUGCAGUAAAAGUUGAAUUAUUUUCCUACAGGACAUGGGCCACCACUUCCUGAGCAAAGAAGUGGCUUCAGUUUGGAAGCCCUCAGUCAGGAGAGCAGAACCAGUUUGGAACUGGACACGUGAACACACAACACAGCCUUGUUUCUUACAGUGUUAAAACUGGUUUCUUUUUGUGUUUCUUGAGUAUGUUAGAGAUACUAAUGUGGCAUUUAGAGUUUACCUUUCACUCUCUGCAGGAUGUAUUUUGCACUGUUUAUAUUACUCGGGGCCAGGUGAGAUCCCCUGGUCCUUGGUGGGAUGAUGAAAAGUCCUGGAACCUCCCAGCUACAAGUGUUGUAGCACCGUAACAUGAGCAGCUCCACCAUGCCACAGGUGUCUGUCAUUCCACAGAUUUGCUGAAUCACAGUAAAAAGUCACAUUGUCUGACUUUUCAAGUCUGAAGGGAAGACAUGCAGGUGCACUCCAUUCCAGCAGCAAUAAUCACAGGAAAUGUGGAAAACAUACAGUACCAAAUUGUGCUUUUUGGACACAUUUGUGUAAUGUUGCCUUCCAUGGACUAGAGAAAUGAAGCUUGGAUUAAAGCUCACUCCACUGGGGAGAAAACAGAUUUUCUUUUCCAGUGUCUUCAAACAGAAAGCAAAAGCUUUUUCAAACGUUGUCCUGCCUUGUUCUGACUGCAAAUUCAAGAAUCUGUUUCACAUCUAUGCCUGAAAUGGAAGGUACAGUGCAAACUGUCUAUCUGGAGUUCAUAACUUUUAUCCAAAAUUUUAUCCUACCUGGGAAAUAUAGCCUGUCUCUUGUGGAUAGCAACUGCUAAAAGACAAUUCCUGCUCAGUCUGCUCUGCUGUGCCAGGAAUGCUGGGGACUGUUUACUCUACCUGUUGAGACUUGCUGCAAAAUUAGGGCCACAUUGGAGCUCCAAUCAGCCACUCAGGAGGGGGAGGAGGAGCCCCAGGUACUCCAGGAAUACCUGAGGUGUGGCAGCCAGAAAUUCUGCAGCACUGAAGGAAUACAACCAGCAGUGUUGCUGCUCCACCUUGGCUCGGCUGCACUGGUUGGUGCUGCCUUCACCUGGGGAGCUCCCGGCGGCACCAAGCUGGAGCAACACUUGGGGAGCUCUUUGUACCUGUGCAAAGGGAGUGAGAAGCACUGUUGUUCCAAAAAAUACAAUUUUCCAUGCACGUCUGCCUCUGCAAUCCAACAAUUCCCAUCUAGUCUCACAGUUAGCAAUGUCACCAUGUCGCCCUGUCCUGGGUUUGGCUGGGAUAGAGUUAAUUUUCUUCCCAGGAGCUGGUGCACUGUAGUGUGUGAGCAGGGGCUGUGUGGGGUUUAGUGCCUCCUGGGUUAAACCACCUCCUGUCUUUGCAUAUUCCAUCUCUGCACAGUUGAAAUUCCUUCAGGCCUGAGCCUCGGGGCAGUGUGUUGAGUUCAUGUACCAUUCCCAAAUGUGAACUUGAUUACCUUGCAGAUACAAGAGUGUACUCAUUUCAGAUGUCACAGAAAAGACUUAAGAAGAAAGACAAAUGAAAAUCUCCUUGAGAAUGGUAAAGACAUGGAUUGUUUCUGGCCUGGAUCCACGUAGCACCUGUUUAUGACAACUGUAGGAGGGGAUAAGUGGAUUUGCUAAUUCAUAUUUGCUGUGCAGAACUCCCUGCUGCUCUGCAAAGCAGGGAGAUCUCCCUGAUUAAACUGACCUUUAAAGACAAGCACCACUUUUUAAAAAAUGUCCAGUCACUGAGCUGUGGGAACCUGGCAGGUAUUCCUUCAAAACCUGGGGAUGCUCAUCAUCCGCAAGAAAAUUUGGAGCAUCCAAUAUCCUCGUACAUUGAGACAAUUUGGUUCUACCUCGUGACAUCUGUUAAGGCCUAAGAAUACUGGAAUCAGCAUUUUAUAGCCAUUUCAUGCUGAAUUUGGGUGCUGGAGCCAUGAACAACUUCUGUUGCUUCUGUGUUUCUUUCUGUACAGACGUCAUGGCUGAUGGGAAAGGGAUGUCUGUCCAUGUGGGAUGGGAUGUGUGCAGCUCAUCUCAACUGCUUUAUACAUUAACAAUUUUUCCUUGAAAAACUGGUCGCUGCUGGGAACCAAGACUUUCCAGUUAAAUCCUUUUGUUUGGUCCUGGCUGACACAUACAAAGUUGGGUUUUGUUACUCUUUGUGUACAUUUUGAUUCCUUCUGAAUCAUCCAAACAAGAGGCCUGAGGGCCAUGGUACACCAAAACAGUACCAGGAGUUUGGUUUUUUGCUGUUUUGGCUCAAAGAAGAAUCAAUUCAAUUAUUCUGAUUAGAAAAGAGGUUCAGUUAAAUUCAUUCUCACUUCAAUUUGGGGAGAGGACAUUCUCCCUCUCCUAAGUGUGAUGAAAUAAAAAGGAGACAUUGAAUGGGGUUUUUAUGGAAGAGAAUAUCAAAAUCUCAGGCUAUAAAUUCACCAUGACAGUAGAAAUAUGUGUCAGAUUUUUGGAUGGGUUGGCUUUGUGCCAGCCAGCAGUUCUUCCCUCUGGAUCAUGUGUUGUCUACAUGAAUCUCUUUUAUUUUAUGCUGCCAUAAUCUUUAUAUGUCUGUCCUCUCACAAGUUGAAUAAAUGUCACACAGUACAUUCUGUC